Molecule: ribosomal RNA, 557 nt
Filed under: Paenibacillus sp.
Lineage: Bacteria; Bacillati; Bacillota; Bacilli; Caryophanales; Paenibacillaceae
Description: bacterial SSU rRNA
Rfam family: Bacterial small subunit ribosomal RNA
Source: RNAcentral
GACGGUGCAAGCUGUCACUUACAGAUGGGCCUGCGGUGCAUUAGCUAGUUGGUGGGGUAACGGCUCACCAAGGCGACGAUGCAUAGCCGACCUGAGAGGGUGAUCGGCCACACUGGGACUGAGACACGGCCCAGACUCCUACGGGAGGCAGCAGUAGGGAAUCUUCCGCAAUGGACGAAAGUCUGACGGAGCAACGCCGCGUGAGUGAUGAAGGUUUUCGGAUCGUAAAGCUCUGUUGCCAGGGAAGAACAGCUAGGCGAGUAACUGCGCUUAGAAUGACGGUACCUGAGAAGAAAGCCCCGGCUAACUACGUGCCAGCAGCCGCGGUAAUACGUAGGGGGCAAGCGUUGUCCGGAAUUAUUGGGCGUAAAGCGCGCGCAGGCGGCUUUGUAAGUCUAGUGUUUAAUCUCGGAGCUCAACUCCGAUUCGCACCGGAAACUGCAAGGCUUGAGUACAGAAGAGGAAAGUGGAAUUCCACGUGUAGCGGUGAAAUGCGUAGAGAUGUGGAGGAACACCAGUGGCGAAGGCGACUUUCUGGGCUGUAACUGACGCUGAGC